This is a non-coding RNA of Camellia sinensis, 1592 nucleotides long. The record is from RefSeq and is a predicted model, not a curated record. NCBI's taxonomy places the organism in Eukaryota, Viridiplantae, Streptophyta, Magnoliopsida, Ericales, Theaceae.
GAGAGAAUGUUGAGAGGAGGUACACAGAAAAUCGUGUUCUUCUCGUAAGAGAACUGAAUUAGGUUCUUCAAGAUAUAUGGAUGGUCAAGUUCGAUUUUCUGGAAUUUUGACCCAAGAAUUGUCACAAAAUCUUGGUAAUCAUGCUAAGUAGAUUCCCAUGACUUGUUAUUGAAAAUUUUGUAAUUGGCAUGCCUUGUGUUCUUUUCCUUGUUAAUAAAUUUUCAUAUUCUUGUAGUCCUCUCUCUCUCUCUCUCUCUCGAACAAAAUUGUGAAAAUUUUGAAUCCUUACACAUUGAUGUUUACAAGUGCUGAACUUAUUCACAUAUAGUUUUCAAUUGUUCUGGUGUGACAACAGUAUAUCAUGGUUAAGUGUGCUUUUCUCAUCUAUGUAUGAAUGCUGGCAAUCAUACAUCUAUAUAUGCAGCAUCUAUGCUUGUGAGGAUAUAUCUACAUAUGCAUAUUUGUAUCUAUGUACAUAUGCAUGCAAGGCCUAUUCAUUUUAUGUACCACUGAAAAUGUUAUGAAUACCGCGCAGCUGAAAAUUUGAAAACUUAUCCUUCUUAAGCACACUAGAUUUGUAAGAAGGUGGAAUAAAAAACUAGCAUGAGUCUUGGUAUUUUGCUGCCUCAUUUUAGUAUUUUGCGAAGAGUAAAAAACAAAGAAUACCCCUACUGAUGUUUGCAGCAAUUUAUCAUCAAUUUUGCUUUCAUAUGGACAGAUAUUGGCCAACAAUAGUUUCUUCCUGAACUGCAAUAACCUAACCAUUGUAGCUGGUUCUUAUGAAGGCAAGUAUCUUGUUUAUUGUUGGAACAUGUCAUAUUCUGGUUGGACUUUCAUUUUGCCACUGUUGAAUUAAGAACUCACAAAAUGACAGCAUUUGCUGGGGCCCACAUAAUAGAAGAAUUUCUGGCUUUCUACUUCAUAUAUCCUUUAAUCCUUAGGCCCCAUAACCAUAUAGAUACAAGGUGUUGUUCACCCCUCUCAGAGUUAAGUAUUUAAUUGUCAGUAUUUCUUUUUUAAGCCUUUGAAUUCUUGUUUUUCAUGUUAGUUAGAUAUGAUCAAUGCUUGCUUUAGGAUUUGGAUAGGCAUCUACACUCUUAUUCUUAUUUAAUCAACAAAGGACUUUUAUUGGAUCAUUUUGGGUAUCUUCAGAUUUCUUUAACUGGAACAAAGUCAAGAUACGCUAUUGUGAUGGUGCAUCUUUUGCUGGGCACCCUGAAAGAGUGCUUUGACACUGAUUUGGUGUGGGCAUGCAGCUUCUAUGGUGAAUAGAGUAUCAUGCAAUAGGAAACAGAGCGACUCCUCGGUGGAUGAACUCACUUCAGAUACAGCUAUUGAGGUCAGCAUUGAGAUUCCUUUUGCAUUUCGACCAAUUCCCGUGCAAGCCAUUGAAUCAAACGACACUCAAGUACUAGAACAAAUAUUGAGGAUUAUGCUUCCUUGCUUUAUGGCACAGAGCCAACGUGAUGAGUUGGAGGCAAAGUUUUUCGAGGAGAGAGCACCUUUGAAGCUAAAUAGCAAAGCACACUCCAUAUUAUUAUUAUUUUUUUUAUUAAAAUGAGAGUAUUAGCAAUUUUUAUUUUUAUUUUUUU